UCCCUGAGACCCUAACUUGCGA
Molecule: non-coding RNA, 22 nt
Filed under: Gallus gallus (chicken)
Lineage: Eukaryota; Metazoa; Chordata; Aves; Galliformes; Phasianidae
Also listed under: 2 other names
Source: RNAcentral